AUCCCGCGACUGGCUGACUUUUCUCCUUCCACCCAGGUGUUGGCAGUCCUCUAGGUGAACAGAAAGGGACUGCAGGUGAGCGCAAGAUCAGGGCGGGUUAUUAGGGUGUGUACCGCCCACUCCAUCAAGAUGGGAGCUUCCAGCGGUCAGGCCUGUGGCCCCAGGGCCUCCUGUAGACGGGAAGGGCCUCCCGCGGUUAUAGCUCCCCCCCAGGGGAGGGGCUUCUUAAACAGAAUCCUCCUCGGGAAGCGUCCUCCGCUUGUAACUGUCACGGUAAUCUGGGGAACAAAAGCGAGAACACAGGCCCACUGAACGAAUCGCUUUGUCAGGCUCCACGACGCUGCUCUGCUGUGACGCCAGCUCUGGAGGGGACAGCAGCAUCAGAGCCACAAACCCUCUGACAGCCCCAGCACGUGCCGUCUGUUAAUACACUGAGAGCCGGCGGUGCUCAGGAGUGUCGCC
This 462-nucleotide long non-coding RNA is filed under the name Bos taurus (domestic cattle). RNAcentral describes it as "long non-coding RNA NONBTAT001890". Lineage: Eukaryota; Metazoa; Chordata; Mammalia; Artiodactyla; Bovidae. The record is from RNAcentral.